Molecule: small RNA, 462 nt
Filed under: Pan troglodytes (chimpanzee)
Lineage: Eukaryota; Metazoa; Chordata; Mammalia; Primates; Hominidae
Description: processed transcript
Source: RNAcentral
CGGGCGCCCGCCCUCCGAGGGGCCGCGCUUACCCGUCGGGCGAGUACUCGAGGUUGAAGACGGCGCCGUGGGUGCGGGUGCUGAGUAUGUUCCAGUAAAAGGAGACCAUGUGAUUGGCAUAGUGACAGCUAAAUCUGGAGAUAUAUUCAAAGUUGAUGUUGGAGGGAGUGAGCCAGCUUCUUUGUCUUACUUGUCAUUUGAAGGUGCAACUAAAAGAAACAGACCAAAUGUGCAGGUUGGAGAUCUCAUCUAUGGCCAAUUUGUGGUUGCUAAUAAAGACAUGGAACCAGAGAUGGUCUGUAUUGACAGCUGUGGACGAGCCAAUGGAAUGGGUGUCAUUGGACAGGAUGGUCUGCUUUUUAAAGUGACUCUGGGCUUAAUUAGAAAGCUAUUAGCUCCAGAUUGUGAAAUCAUACAGGAAGUGGGAAAACUCUAUCCACUGGAGAUAGUAUUUGGAAUGAA